Molecule: non-coding RNA, 148 nt
Filed under: Pan paniscus (pygmy chimpanzee)
Lineage: Eukaryota; Metazoa; Chordata; Mammalia; Primates; Hominidae
Also listed under: 1 other name
Source: Rfam by way of RNAcentral
GCCGGGCAUGGUUGUGCUUGCCUGUAGUCCCAGCUACUCUGGAGGCUGAGGCGGGAGAAUUGCUUGAACCCAGGAGGUGGAGGUUGCAGUGAGCUGAGAUGGUGCCACUGCACUCCAGCCUGGGCAACAGAGCAAGACUCUGUCUCAA